CCCUUCCCCAAAACACAGACACACACGCUCCACCUCAACAGACAGACGCACACCCCUCCUCCAACACACAGACAUACCUGUCGAACCUUAACAGACAGACAAACCCUCCCUCUCUUCAUACCUGUUGCACCUCAGCGGCGGUGCUCUUGAACAGCUCAAUGUAUCUCUUUCCCAGGAUGUCUUUGUGCUUCCUGAGAGCGCACUGAGCAUUCUCCUCACUGGCGAAUAGGACAAAGGCGUCGCCUGUCGGCCUUCCAUCAGGGAAACGCACAAAUAGGAUGCCAUCCUUGUCACCACUGACAGGACACGCCUCUUUAGGCCCCUCCCCUGGGAGAAGAAGGCCAGCACCUGGUCAGGUGUGGCGGUGAAGGGAAGACCUCUCAUCCUGACAAUCACCUGGUCCUCACGAGACAGGAACAACGCCACCUCACUGGAGGUACCGCCUGCUAUCUUAAGGAAGUCCUCUCCUGUUGCCUUGUACACCUGCAGCAGACAAGACAUGGCAUUAACUCCUGCUCGUUGGGCUCCAGGGCCAUGUCUCUGUGCUCUUCACUGAUGAAGCGGACCAUAGCCUCUCCGUUCCUCCGACCCUGGGCGUUCAGACACAACGCAGCGCCACCUCUGGACAACACACAGCAUUACAGCUAUUAAAACAAUUUCAAUACACUACACACCAUCAUAACAGCAACGAGUCAAACACAACAGACAACACACCACUAGACACUGAACACACAUACUUGGCAAUGUUGAGUCCUCUGAAGAAGCGAGCGAUGUCCUGGUCAGAUGACUGCCACGGCAACCCCCUCGCUCUGAUCACUGUGUUGUCACACACACGCUCC
RNAcentral lists this long non-coding RNA (839 nucleotides) under Salmo salar (Atlantic salmon). RNAcentral's name for it is "lncRNA (ENSSSAG00000108881.1, ENSSSAG00000110624.1)". The record is from RNAcentral. Lineage: Eukaryota; Metazoa; Chordata; Actinopteri; Salmoniformes; Salmonidae.